GUUGACUGUUGGUAAAAUUUGAAAAUUUAAGAAUUAGAUUUAUUAGCGUUGGAUUAUUAUAUUAUAGUUAGGACAAGUUCUCGUUUCAAGAGAAAAAUUAAAUUUAACGUGAUUAUAUUCGAAACACGUGGCGCUCGACGAUCGAUACGUGGUGCCAUCUAGUAGCGAGUUGGAAAACUCGUAAACGACAACAGCAUUUUACGUGAGAGAAACGAAGUAAAUAUUAUCGUGAAAAAAAAAUAUCGUUAAAAACUUACCUUUAUCUCUGCCAGUAGACGAUAGUGAAACUUCUGAUAAUUUGAAUGAAUCACUGAUAAGAACAAUAAUAGUAAAUAAAUCGUGACACGUGCUUUUAAAAAAUACGUAAUAACCAAAAUCUAUUUGUAUUCGUGAAAGAAAGGUUAUAGAUCGCGAUCAUUUUCUCUCGGUAUAAAAUAAAAAAAAGGAUACGUCUCAAACUUGUGCAAGAAAAUCCAUUGUAUUUCGGUAGAAAUCUUCUCGUGAGGGCUGCCAUGUUCCUAGUCGACAGAAAACUAAGUUGAUCUUGGCGAGUCGCAUUUUAUCUCGUGCUGAUUUGACCUCGCAUAAAAGUGAGAGGUUAGGAACAGCAUCGAUCGGGCAUAAAUCGAGAAAAAGGUCGUCGACUCACCUGAAACGCGAGGCAGGCGAAGGUGAGACCGAGGCAGAGAGAGAGAAACGGGGCGAUCAGGACGGAGAGGAACA
Molecule: long non-coding RNA, 723 nt
Organism: Apis mellifera (honey bee)
Lineage: Eukaryota; Metazoa; Arthropoda; Insecta; Hymenoptera; Apidae
Exons: 2
Source: RefSeq, a predicted model, not a curated record